UUGCGCAAUGGGCGGAAGCCUGACGCAGCGACGCCGCGUGGGGGAUGACGGCCUUCGGGUUGUAAACCUCUUUCAGCAGGGACGAAGCGACAGUGACGGUACCUGCAGAAGAAGCACCGGCCAACUACGUGCCAGCAGCCGCGGUAAUACGUAGGGUGCAAGCGUUGUCCGGAAUUAUUGGGCGUAAAGAGCUCGUAGGCGGUUUGUCGCGUCGGCUGUGAAAACCCGGAGCUCAACUCCGGGCCUGCAGUCGAUACGGGCAGACUUGAGUGUUGCAGGGGAGACUGGAAUUCCUGGUGUAGCGGUGAAAUGCGCAGAUAUCAGGAGGAACACCGGUGGCGAAGGCGGGUCUCUGGGCAACAACUGACGCUGAGGAGCGAAAGCGUGGGGAGCGAACAGGAUUAGAUACCCUGGUAGUCCACGCCGUAAACGUUGGGCGCUAGGUGUGGGGCUCAUUCCACGAGUUCCGUGCCGCAGCUAACGCAUUAAGCGCCCCGCCUGGGGAGUACGGCCGCAAGCUACAAACUCAAAGGAAUUGACGGGGGCCCGCACAAGCGGCGGAGCAUGCUUGCUUAAUUCGAUGCAACGCGAAGAACCUUACCUAGGCUUGACAUGCACGGAAAUCUCCCAGAGAUGGGGGGUCCGUAAGGGCCGUGCACAGGUGGUGCAUGGUCGUCGUCAGCUCGUGUCGUGAGAUGUUGGGUUAAGUCCCGCAACGAGCGCAACCCUCGUCCUAUGUUGCCAGCACGUGAUGGUGGGGACUCAUAGGAGACUGCCGGGGUCAACUCGGAGGAAGGUGGGGAUGACGUCAAAUCAUCAUGCCCCUUAUGUCUAGGGCUGCAAACAUGCUACAAUGGCCGGUACAAAGGGCUGCGAUACCGCGAGGUGGAGCGAAUCCCAAAAAGCCGGUCUCASUUCGGAUUGGGGUCUGCAACUCGACCCCAUGAAGUUGGAGUCGCU
This 960-nucleotide ribosomal RNA is filed under the name uncultured Actinomycetes bacterium. Its description in RNAcentral is "bacterial SSU rRNA". It matches the Rfam family "Bacterial small subunit ribosomal RNA", at positions 364 to 1336 of the family's 1533-position model. The record is from RNAcentral. Lineage: Bacteria; Bacillati; Actinomycetota; Actinomycetes.